RNAcentral lists this ribosomal RNA (890 nucleotides) under Fergusobia sp. 461. Its description in RNAcentral is "partial 28S ribosomal RNA". It matches the Rfam family "Eukaryotic large subunit ribosomal RNA", at positions 378 to 944 of the family's 3401-position model. The record is from RNAcentral. Lineage: Eukaryota; Metazoa; Nematoda; Chromadorea; Rhabditida; Neotylenchidae.
GAAGAGAGAGUUAAAGAGCACGUGAAAUCGGUAAGGUGGAAACGGAUAGAGUUGACGUAUAUGGCUUGUAUUCAACCGUUAGAUUAUGCGUAACAAUGGGUUGUUUUGCGUUGACCGGUAUAAUAUAACAGUAUUUUUUAAUAGUGUUUUAUAUUGGGCUGGUUUGGCGUUGCAGUCCAUUGGUGUUUACGUUUUUUAGCGGUGCAUUUACAAGUCAAUGUGCGCUGGGACAUGCGCGUUUCGGUUGUCGAAGAAGUUUGGUGCAAGAGGUUACUUUUUGACAUUUUAAAUUUAUUUAAAAUGCGAAGUAAAACCGUGCCCCUUUCGGAGGCGAUUCGUCGUGCAUGUAGUACUAUGGUUUAUUAAACUUCUUAAAGGAUGGCAUUUUAAAAUUAAAAAAAAAAAAAUGCGAAUAUUUAAAUUUUUAAAUUGUAUUUGUUGAUUAUACGAGUCGCAUGCGAUGCGUAUAAUUAUUUUAAAAAAAAAAAAAAAAAAAAUAAAUACAAUUAUUUAAAUAUUUCCCUCUUUCCUUUAUCCCGGUGUAAAAGUCAAUCAUCUAUCCGACCCGUCUUGAAACACGGACCAAGGAGUUUAACGUAUACGCGAGUCAUUGGGUGUUGAAAACCUAAAGGCGUAAUGAAAGUGAAUGUAUUUCUUUGAAAAUACAAAUAUGCGAUCCCAUAAAUUUCGAUUUAAGGGCGCAGCAUAGCCCCGUUUUUGUCGCAUGCGAUGGAGCGGAGGAAGAGCGUAUGCGUUGAGACCCGAAAGAUGGUGAACUAUGCCUGAGCAGGACGAAGCCAGAGGAAACUCUGGUGGAAGUCCGAAUCGGUUCUGACGUGCAAAUCGAUCGUCUGACUUGGGUAUAGGGGCGAAAGACUAAUCGAACUAUC